GAUCAGGCUGUUGGUGAGGUAAUGGCCCACCAAACCUGUAACCGGUACGGGCUCUGAGAGGAGGAGCCCGGAGAUGGGCACUGAGACAAGGGCCCAGGCCCUAUGGGGCGCAGCAGGCGCGAAACCUCUGCAAUAGGCGAAAGCUUGACAGGGUUACUCUGAGUGAUCUCCGUUAAGGAGAUCUUUUGGCACCUCUAAAAAUGGUGCAGAAUAAGGGGUGGGCAAGUCUGGUGUCAGCCGCCGCGGUAAUACCAGCACCCCGAGUGGUCGGGACGUUUAUUGGGCCUAAAGCAUCCGUAGCCGGUUCUACAAGCCUUCCGUUAAAUCCACCUGCUCAACAGAUGGGCUGCGGAAGAUACUAUAGAGCUAGGAGGCGGGAGAGGCAAGCGGUACUCGAUGGGUAGGGGUAAAAUCCGUUGAUCCAUUGAAGACCACCAGUGGCGAAGGCGGCUUGCCAGAACGCGCUCGACGGUGAGGGAUGAAAGCUGGGGGAGCAAACCGGAUUAGAUACCCGGGUAGUCCCAGCUGUAAACGAUGCAGACUCGGUGAU
RNAcentral lists this ribosomal RNA (550 nucleotides) under uncultured archaeon. RNAcentral describes it as "bacterial SSU rRNA". It matches the Rfam family "Archaeal small subunit ribosomal RNA", at positions 223 to 775 of the family's 1478-position model. The record is from RNAcentral.